GAUGAACGCUGGCGGCGUGCUUAACACAUGCAAGUCGAACGAAGAUGCCGGAGUGCUUGCACUUUGGCAGACUGAGUGGCGGACGGGUGAGUAACGCGUGGGUAACCUGCCUUAUACAGGGGGAUAACAGUUGGAAACGACUGCUAAUACCGCAUAAGCGCACGGUAUCGCAUGAUACCAGUGUGAAAAACUCCGGUGGUAUAAGAUGGACCCGCGUCUGACUUAGCUAGUUGGUGAGGUAACGGCCCACCAAGGCGACGAUCAGUAGCCGGCCCUGAGAGGGUGAACGGCCACAUUGGGACUGAGACAGGCCCAGACUCCUACGGGAGGCAGCAGUGGGGGAUAUUGGACAAUGGGGGCAACCCUGAUCCAGCGACGCCGCGUGAGGGAA
Molecule: ribosomal RNA, 391 nt
Filed under: uncultured bacterium
Lineage: Bacteria
Description: bacterial SSU rRNA
Rfam family: Bacterial small subunit ribosomal RNA
Source: RNAcentral